Molecule: ribosomal RNA, 253 nt
Filed under: uncultured bacterium
Lineage: Bacteria
Description: partial 16S ribosomal RNA
Rfam family: Bacterial small subunit ribosomal RNA
Source: RNAcentral
UACGUAGGUGGCAAGCGUUAUCCGGAUUUACUGGGUGUAAAGGGAGCGUAGACGGCGCUGCAAGUCCGGAGUGAAAGCCCAUGGCUUAACCAUGGUACUGCUCUGGAAACUGUGGAGCUUGAGUGCGGGAGGGGCAGGCGGAAUUCCUAGUGUAGCGGUGAAAUGCGUAGAUAUUAGGAGGAACACCGGCGGCGAAGGCGGCCUGCUGGACCGUAACUGACGUUGAGGCUCGAAAGCGUGGGGAGCAAACAGG